GAUGAACGCUAGCGGCAGGCCUAACACAUGCAAGUCGAGGGGCAUCAUGGCGUAGCAAUACGCUGAUGGCGACCGGCGCACGGGUGCGUAACGCGUAUGGAACCUACCCACCGCAGGGGGAUAACCCGCCGAAAGGCGGACUAAUACCCCAUGGUUCCCCGACCCUGCCUGGGGUUGGGGGUAAAGCCUACGGGCGGCGGUGGAUGGCCCUGCGUGCCAUUAGCUGGCUGGCGGGGUAACGGCCCACCAGGGCGACGAUGGCUAGGGGGUCUGAGAGGACGAUCCCCCACACUGGGAUUGAGAUACGGCCCAGACUCCUACGGGAGGCAGCAGUCGAGAAUAGUCUACAAUGGCCGGAAGGCUGAUAGUGCGACGCCGCGUGAACGAGGGAGCCCUUCGGGUGUAAAGACUCUUCGGCUGGGAAGAAAUACGCAUCUCCUAAUACGGGGUGUGGGAUGACGGUACCAGCAUAAGAAGCACCGGCUAACUACGUGCCAGCAGCCGCGGUAAACAUA
Molecule: ribosomal RNA, 515 nt
Filed under: uncultured bacterium
Lineage: Bacteria
Description: bacterial SSU rRNA
Rfam family: Bacterial small subunit ribosomal RNA
Source: RNAcentral